Molecule: ribosomal RNA, 333 nt
Filed under: uncultured bacterium
Lineage: Bacteria
Description: bacterial SSU rRNA
Rfam family: Bacterial small subunit ribosomal RNA
Source: RNAcentral
GGCGUAGGCGGCCCGGCAAGUCGGGUGUGAAAACCCUUGGCUCAACCAAGGAACGGCGCCCGAUACUACCGGGCUUGAGGUGCUGAAGGGCGACUGGAACUCUCGGUGGAGCGGUGAAAUGCGUAGAUAUCGAGAGGAACGCCAAUGGUGAAGACAGGUCGCUGGUGGCAUCCUGACGCUGAGGCCCGAAAGCCAGGGGAGCAAACGGGAUUAGAUACCCCGGUAGUCCUGGCCCUAAACGAUGCACACUAGGUGGGGGAGGCUCUGACAGCCAUCCCUGCCGCAGGGAAACCGGUAAGUGUGCCGCCUGGGAAGUACGGUCGCAAGGCUAAA